RNAcentral lists this ribosomal RNA (463 nucleotides) under Escherichia coli. Its description in RNAcentral is "bacterial SSU rRNA". It matches the Rfam family "Bacterial small subunit ribosomal RNA", at positions 1 to 458 of the family's 1533-position model. Lineage: Bacteria; Pseudomonadati; Pseudomonadota; Gammaproteobacteria; Enterobacterales; Enterobacteriaceae. The record is from RNAcentral.
UUAAAUUGAAGAGUUUGAUCAUGGCUCAGAUUGAACGCUGGCGGCAGGCCUAACACAUGCAAGUCGAACGGUAACAGGAAACAGCUUGCUGUUUCGCUGACGAGUGGCGGACGGGUGAGUAAUGUCUGGGAAACUGCCUGAUGGAGGGGGAUAACUACUGGAAACGGUAGCUAAUACCGCAUAACGUCGCAAGACCAAAGAGGGGGACCUUCGGGCCUCUUGCCAUCGGAUGUGCCCAGAUGGGAUUAGCUAGUAGGUGGGGUAACGGCUCACCUAGGCGACGAUCCCUAGCUGGUCUGAGAGGAUGACCAGCCACACUGGAACUGAGACACGGUCCAGACUCCUACGGGAGGCAGCAGUGGGGAAUAUUGCACAAUGGGCGCAAGCCUGAUGCAGCCAUGCCGCGUGUAUGAAGAAGGCCUUCGGGUUGUAAAGUACUUUCAGCGGGGAGGAAGGGAGUAAA